This 445-nucleotide ribosomal RNA is filed under the name uncultured Hyphomicrobiales bacterium. Its description in RNAcentral is "bacterial SSU rRNA". It matches the Rfam family "Bacterial small subunit ribosomal RNA", at positions 335 to 798 of the family's 1533-position model. Lineage: Bacteria; Pseudomonadati; Pseudomonadota; Alphaproteobacteria; Hyphomicrobiales. The record is from RNAcentral.
GGCCUACGGGUGGCUGCAGUGGGGAAUAUUGGACAAUGGGCGCAAGCCUGAUCCAGCCAUGCCGCGUGAGUGAUGAAGGCCCUAGGGUUGUAAAGCUCUUUCACCGGUGAAGAUAAUGACGGUAACCGGAGAAGAAGCCCCGGCUAACUUCGUGCAAGCAGCCGCGGUAAUACGAAGGGGGCUAGCGUUGUUCGGAAUUACUGGGCGUAAAGCGCACGUAGGCGGAUAUUUAAGUCAGGGGUGAAAUCCCGGGGCUCAAACCCGGAACUGCCUUUGAUACUGGGUGUCUCGAGUCCGGAAGAGGUGAGUGGAAUUCCGAGUGUAGAGGUGAAAUUCGUAGAUAUUCGGAGGAACACCAGUGGCGAAGGCGGCUCACUGGUCCGGUACUGACGCUGAGGUGCGAAAGCGUGGGGAGCAAACAGGAUUAGAUACCCUAGUAGUCAGA